RNAcentral lists this ribosomal RNA (443 nucleotides) under Haemophilus sp. oral taxon 036. RNAcentral's name for it is "bacterial SSU rRNA". It matches the Rfam family "Bacterial small subunit ribosomal RNA", at positions 30 to 467 of the family's 1533-position model. Lineage: Bacteria; Pseudomonadati; Pseudomonadota; Gammaproteobacteria; Pasteurellales; Pasteurellaceae. The record is from RNAcentral.
AUUGAACGCUGGCGGCAGGCUUAACACAUGCAAGUCGAACGGUAGCAGGAGAAAGCUUGCUUUCUUGCUGACGAGUGGCGGACGGGUGAGUAAUGCUUGGGAAUCUGGCUUAUGGAGGGGGAUAACUACGGGAAACUGUAGCUAAUACCGCGUAGAAUCGGAAGAUGAAAGUGCGGGACCGCGAGGCCGCAUGCCAUGAGAUGAGCCCAAGUGGGAUUAGGUAGUUGGUGGGGUAAAGGCCUACCAAGCCUGCGAUCUCUAGCUGGUCUGAGAGGAUGGCCAGCCACACUGGAACUGAGACACGGUCCAGACUCCUACGGGAGGCAGCAGUGGGGAAUAUUGCGCAAUGGGGGGAACCCUGACGCAGCCAUGCCGCGUGAAUGAAGAAGGCCUUCGGGUUGUAAAGUUCUUUCGGUAUUGAGGAAGGGAUGUGUGCUAAUAGU